UACAGAGGGGGCAAGCGUUGUUCGGAAUUACUGGGCGUAAAGGGCGCGUAGGCGGCCUUCUAAGUCGAACGUGAAAUCCCCGGGCUCAACCCGGGAACUGCGUCCGAUACUGGCAGGCUUGAAUUCGGGAGAGGGAUGCGGAAUUCCAGGUGUAGCGGUGAAAUGCGUAGAUAUCUGGAGGAACACCGGUGGCGAAGGCGGCAUCCUGGACCGAAAUUGACGCUGAGGCGCGAAAGCCAGGGGAGCAAACGGG
This 253-nucleotide ribosomal RNA is filed under the name uncultured bacterium. Its description in RNAcentral is "partial 16S ribosomal RNA". It matches the Rfam family "Bacterial small subunit ribosomal RNA", at positions 524 to 776 of the family's 1533-position model. The record is from RNAcentral.